CCUGUCAUAAUGCAGGUGGGAGGAAUACAUUUGGAAAGAUGCAGUUGAUGCAAUUUAGUGCAGCAAAGCGGACUGAAAUUCAACACGCUCUCAUGUGGCUGUGCCUUUAACUCAAGACCAGUGGUGAGAUCUCUUUACCUGGUUUUGCUCUUGCCCGGAGAAUCCUAACUAAACACACUUCCUCGUGCCAUUCAAACCAUGUGACAGGAUGACAUUUCAACUCUGCUGGCCCCACCUGUAUUUUUCGAGAGGGACCCUGUAAGAGUGUCUUCUCAUUCCACACUUUGAGUUCAGCUUCACUUCAGAGUCCUCCCCCCCCCCCC
Long non-coding RNA from Polyodon spathula (Mississippi paddlefish), 323 nucleotides. RefSeq lists it as uncharacterized. The transcript has 3 exons. The record is from RefSeq and is a predicted model, not a curated record. NCBI's taxonomy places the organism in Eukaryota, Metazoa, Chordata, Actinopteri, Acipenseriformes, Polyodontidae.